CUACGGGAGGCAGCAGUGAGGAAUAUUGCACAAUGGAGGAAACUCUGAUGCAGCAACGCCGCGUGGAGGAUGACGCAUUUCGGUGUGUAAACUCCUUUUAUUAGGGAAGAUUAUGACGGUACCUAAUGAAUAAGCACCGGCUAACUCCGUGCCAGCAGCCGCGGUAAUACGGAGGGUGCAAGCGUUACUCGGAAUCACUGGGCGUAAAGGGUGCGUAGGCUGGCUUUUAAGUCAGAUGUGAAAUCCAAUGGCUUAACCAUUGAACUGCAUUUGAAACUGAGAGCCUAGAGUUCAGAAGGGGCAGAUGGAAUUAGUGGUGUAGGGGUAAAAUCCGUAGAUAUCACUAGGAAUAUCAAAAGCGAAGGCGAUCUGCUGGGAUGAUACUGACGCUGAGGCACGAAAGCGUGGGGAGCAAACAGGAUUAGAUACCCCGGU
This 435-nucleotide ribosomal RNA is filed under the name uncultured bacterium. RNAcentral describes it as "bacterial SSU rRNA". It matches the Rfam family "Bacterial small subunit ribosomal RNA", at positions 339 to 791 of the family's 1533-position model. The record is from RNAcentral.